This is a long non-coding RNA of Amphiprion ocellaris (clown anemonefish), 697 nucleotides long. NCBI's taxonomy places the organism in Eukaryota, Metazoa, Chordata, Actinopteri, Pomacentridae. The record is from Ensembl.
CAAGUGUUCAUUUGAUGACCUUCAUUUCCUAAAACAUCCAGAAUUGGAGCUCAUAUCUUUGGCAGCUGUAAAGUUUCUGCUCCUUCAAAGUUCACAACACAAUGAAUGAAUUCCUAAAACACUCUCAAUGCUGGAGAGCGUUUGAUGCUGAAGCAGUGACCAGUUUUUCUGUUUCUUCUCUGGAGAUGCACAACGAGGGACGUCUGCAGAGACUGAGAAAGAGUCUCACCACAUCCUGACAUGAGGAAAAAGACCUUAUUGAAGACUACAAUGAGAAAAACUAUCAGACAGCAGACGGCAUGCAUUCAAGUCUGUAGCUGCUGAAUUCAUGGAUGAAUCAUCUGGCACUAGAGAAGAAGACCAUCAAACAUCCACGUCAGCUGAUGGAGGUCCAAGAGUCUCACCAAACAACCAACCUACAGAGUGAAGACCUCAAAUCUGAUUGGACGGCCUCCUAUUCAGCCACAUGCUACAGGAGGAGCCCUACGAGGACGAGCCGGUCCACCUGAUGGUGGCCAGUCGCUGCGGUUCAAAGCCAACACCGACUACGUGGACUUCUACUGGACCACAUGGAGGCCUUCAAACCGGACCAACAAGUUCAGCGACUCCCCGACUCGUGGGUCUGAGGACGCCGCCGAGCCUCGGCCCAGCCGGCCUCCUGUCUGUGGGUGUUUGAGUGCUGAGAGGUUUGUGGAUG